GACAGAGGGUGCAAACGUUGUUCGGAAUUACUGGGCGUAAAGAGCUCGUAGGUGGUUUGUCGCGUUGUUCGUGAAAACUCACAGCUCAACUGUGGGCUUGCAGCCGAUACGGGCGGGCUGGGAUUCGGUAGGGGAGACUGGAAUUCCUGGUGUAGCGGUGAAAUGCGCAGAUAUCAGGAGGAACACCGGUGGCGAAGGCGGGUCUCUGGGCCGAUAUCGACGCUGAGGAGCGAAAGCGUGGGGAGCGAACAGG
Molecule: ribosomal RNA, 253 nt
Filed under: uncultured bacterium
Lineage: Bacteria
Description: partial 16S ribosomal RNA
Rfam family: Bacterial small subunit ribosomal RNA
Source: RNAcentral